RNAcentral lists this ribosomal RNA (264 nucleotides) under uncultured archaeon. RNAcentral describes it as "partial 16S ribosomal RNA". It matches the Rfam family "Archaeal small subunit ribosomal RNA", at positions 719 to 982 of the family's 1478-position model. The record is from RNAcentral.
ACACGACUACAUUAGAUACCCGUGUAGUCCUAGCCGUAAACGAUACUCGCUAGGUGUCGGCCACGGUGCGACCGUUGUCGGUGCCGUAGGGAAGCCGUGAAGCGAGCCACCUGGGAAGUACGGCCGCAAGGCUGAAACUUAAAGGAAUUGGCGGGGAGCACCACAAGAGGUGGAGGCUGCGGUUCAAUUGGACUCAACGCCGGAAAACUCAUCGGGAGCGACAGCAGUAUGAUUGCCAGGUUGAUGACCUUGCUUGACAAGCUG